Molecule: non-coding RNA, 71 nt
Organism: Podarcis lilfordi (Lilford's wall lizard)
Lineage: Eukaryota; Metazoa; Chordata; Lepidosauria; Squamata; Lacertidae
Source: the annotation of a GenBank genome assembly
UAUAGCUCAGUUGGUACAGCAUGAGACUCUUAAUCUCAGGGUUGUGGGUUUGAGUCCCCAAUCUGGCAAAA